Non-coding RNA from Tyto alba (common barn owl), 490 nucleotides. The record is from the annotation of a RefSeq genome assembly. NCBI's taxonomy places the organism in Eukaryota, Metazoa, Chordata, Aves, Strigiformes, Tytonidae.
CGUGGAGGGGGUUUGUUUCUCUCCCACUUGCAGGAGGAUGGGUCUCAGCACGCACCUCGAGUAUCUCAUCCUGGCUGCAUGCCUGGGGAAACCACUGGGCACCGUGGGGCAGACCACCGUCACCCAGCAAGAAGGGCAAGUCACGCUGAAGCAGAGAGACACCUUCCAAACCACCUGCACAUACCAGAUCUCUGGCUUUAGAGGCUUGUUCUGGUACCAGCAGAGGAAAGGCCAAGGCCCCCAGCUGGUCUCCUACCAGGUAGCUGCUGGCUCCAAGCAGAGCGGCCGUUUCACCACGUUGCUGAACACCGCAGGGAAAUCCAGUGUCCUGAAGCUGGAGGAAGUUGAGGUCUCUGACAGUGCCUUGUACCUCUGUGCUGUGCGAGACACCCCGUUACAGGGAGCUUCCUUGGCUGUGCAAGAACCCAGGGGAGGGAGGGGAUGUGUCUGCAAGGCUGAGUUAGAUUACUUUACGUCCUUCAACAAGUAA